UCCCAGGAAAACUGUCAGUGGAGGAUCAGUGGCGUUGAGACAGAUUCAAAAGAUCGGGAGGAUCGGUGGUUCGGAUCGGGUCGCAGCUGUUGCCGCUGGGCACACACCUUCAACUCGUUGAGUUUUUGCAUCUCGACUUGUUUCAGUUCGUUUCGUUUCGGUUCGUGCGUGUUGCGUUUUAUAUGAAUAAUUGCAUCAAGAUUUUUGCCAACUCUUUUGCGGUCGAUUGCGGCAGCUGCCCCAACUGCACUGGACAUCAUUUCUGUGGCCGUUCAAGAACCCCAUGUCUUCCCACAAACACGCACAUUUUUGGCAGCCACAAAAUGUUGCAGCAAAACCAACAAACCAAAAAAAAACCUAGAGAGGGCACAAACGGGACAUGAAAUUGUUUUGCACAUAACAGCAAGCAAACAAACAUGAAAAGGGAUAUGGAUGCGGAUAAACGAAUAUGAUUGCCGGGGCAUGUGAAAAAAGCAUAACUGAAAUAUUCUCGCCGCUUAAAACAAACAGGCGUAAAAAAAUGAAACAGCCAAAGGAGCACGAACCAAGCAUUUUUUUUCGGCUGUCGCUCCUUGAAAAUAAAAUGUUUUUUAUAUUUUGAUAAAACCAAAA
Molecule: long non-coding RNA, 612 nt
Organism: Drosophila subpulchrella
Lineage: Eukaryota; Metazoa; Arthropoda; Insecta; Diptera; Drosophilidae
Exons: 2
Source: RefSeq, a predicted model, not a curated record